GUCGCCUUUCCAGUUGCACUGAGGUCGUAAGUGAGGAGAGUGAAGAGGAAAGCAAUGGAGUCAACUUGAUGGAGUUCUCAGAUGAGAUCCUUCUGCACAUCCUCAGCUAUGUCCCUUGCACAGACUUGGUCCUCAAUGUCAGGAGAACCUGCAGGAAGCUUGCAACACUUUGCCUUGACAAGAGUCUAACACAUACAGUGCUGCUUCAGAAGGACUAUAAGGUGAACAAAGACAAAGUGAAGCAGCUGAUGAGGGACAUUGGGAAGGAGAUCUACCAGCUGAACAUGGCCGGGUGCUACUGGCUGCCCAGCUCCACCAUCGACCACGUAACACGGUGCAAGAACCUGGUGAAGCUGAACCUGUCGGGGUGCUCCGUCACCUCGCCGCGCCUCUCCAAGAUGCUCUCCUCGCUGCAGCACCUGCGCUCCCUGGCCAUCGACGUGAACCCCGGCUUUAACGCCAGCAAGCUGAGCAGUGAGUGCAAAGCCACCCUGAGCCGCGUCUCUGAGCUGAAGCAAACCCUCUACACACCCUCCUACGGUGUCGUGCCGUGCUGCACCAGCCUUGAGAAACUGCUGCUCUACUUUGAGAUCCUCGACCGCUCGCGGGAGGGGUUCAUGCUCUCUGGGCAGCUGAUGGUGGGCGAGAGCAACGUGCCCCAUUACCAGAACCUCCGCAUCUUCUACGCCAGGCUGGCUCCUGGCUACGUCAACCAGGAGGUGGUGAGGCUGUACUUGGCAGUGCUGAGUGAUCGGACACCGGAGAACCUCCACGCCUUCCUCAUCUCUGCCCCCGGCAGCUUUGCAGAGACGGGAGCCACCAAAAACCUCCUGGACUCCAUGGCCCGAAAUGUUCGUCUGGAUGCUUUACAACUGCCCAAAUCCUGGAUUAACGGCUCCGGGCUCCUGCAACACUUGAAGUUCAACAACCCUUUCUACUUCAGCUUUAGCCGAUGCACCUUAUCUGGUGGGCACCUGAUCCAGAGGGUCAUUAAUGGUGGCAAGGAUCUUAAAAGCCUGACCAGUCUGAACCUCAGUGGCUGCGUUCACUGCCUGGCCCCGGAGUCCGUGUUUCGGAAAGCAGAAGAUGACAUCGACAGCAGCAUUUUGGAAAGCUUGGUAGUGUCUUGCUGCAACCUCAGACACCUGAACCUCUCUGCAGCUCACCAUCACAGCUCUGAAAGCUUAGGGAACCACCUGUGCCAGCUCCUGUCCAGGCUAAAGCACCUGCUCUCAUUAGCACUACCAGUUUGCUCCAUCACCGAUGUUGGUGCAAGCGUGGAGAAGCCUCCCAGCACACCUAACCUGGUGCCCCAGACAUUUGGAAGGAAAGUUCGGAUUGGGGUACAGACAUAUCCAAGUAACUUAGGGGACCAGACAAAUCAGAAGAUCGAGUCCUCAGUGUUUUGGGCUCUGAUGGGAAGCCUCAGAUUUUUGGAAACCUUGGAGAUAAUUGGGUCCAGUUUCUCCUCUGCCAUGCCGCGCAACGAGCCAGCGAUUCGGAACUCGCUGCCUCCCUGUGUCCGGGCACAGAGCGUGGGGGACUCAGAGGUGGCUGCCAUUAGCCAAUUGACUUACCUGCAGAGCCUCACCUUAGCACAGCUGCCAAAUAUCCUCACGGGCUCUGGGCUCGUCAACAUCGGGCUGCAGUGCCAGCACCUGCGGACUCUUUCCUUGGCCAACCUGGGCAUGAUGGGCAAGGUGGUCUAUAUGUCUGCUCUCAUGGACAUGCUGAAACACUGCAAGUGUUUGAGAGAUCUCAGGCUGGAACAGCCCUACUUCUGUGCGGGCGCGCAGUUCUUCCAGGCACUGAGUCACUGCUCCGCUCUCCAGCGCCUUUGCAUCGUCUCCCGGAGCGGGACUCUGCAGUCUGACGCAGUGAUGUCAUUCAUGGCCAGCUGCCUCGAGGUCAUCAUGUGCCACAUGUUCAUGGGAGAGUCUCUCACCGUUUGCAAAAACCUCCAGCAGUCCAUUGUCCGGAGGAAAUGCCAGUCUCUCGUGAUGCUUUCUUCAGCUGGCUGCAUUGCUACCUGGGAUUUUCAUGCCUGUUUCCAGCAGCUGGAUCUCCAACCUUUCCUCAGUGUUUGACAGAAAUCUGGCCAUUUCAGAGCUGGAGAUGAGCUGGGAAUCUUCCAGGCACACACCUGUUUUCCAGGCAGAGCGCCCUGCAUUAAACGUCGUCAUUUUCCCUCUGCUGCACGAGGACUUGACAGAGGUCAUCAGAGAUGUCCCCAUGAGGCACUUGGAUGAAAUUACCUUGUUUAAAAGCAGAGUGGCUGAGGAACCUCCCAAUUUGUGGUGGUGACUGUCACAGCAUGGAAAGGACAAGUCAGUGUGAACCCCUGGAGCAGCUUCUUGUUGGCCUGGAUUUCCCAUCCUUGACUCCUGGCCCCUCACUGGAUGCUGUACAAUCACUUCAACCAGGUGCAAUUGCAAAAUAAAAAAAGCUGAUUCUUUACAGUGGGGAAACAUCUUUUGGAUAUUGCUUGCAUCUGAAAAAAUCGUGUCUCAAAGCCUUGUGGAAUCUGAUGAGUAUUUCCUUGCGGUUGAUAUGAAUUGUUUCUGUUAUUUUAUUGAAGUUAAAGGUAAGAGAAACUGACUUAACAAUGCUCUGUCCCCUGUGUCCCCUGGUGUCUGUCCCAAGGGCCCCUGUGUACGUUGGCAGUGUGCUUUGUGGUUUUGGUGAAUAUCAUUCUUUGCUUCAGUCUGUUUUUGGCAAAGUAGAGAGCCUAGGCCAGCUCAGAGGCACAAAAAUGUGUUGCUCAAUUGAAGUGCAUCACAUCUUUUCUAUGUUACAAAUAGGCAUUUGCAGUCACACAUGUGCAGUCACAGAUAUUUAAAGGGGUUUUUCUUUUGACUGAGAAGUACCACAAAGACUCUUUAUUUUUUAAUAACAAAUCAAGGUCAUUAACACCUUGACCAUGGUGUGUUCCUGCUGGUGCUGUUUCCAUUGGUCUGGUGGAAGAAGUUCUCAGCUCUUUUGGAAAUCCUUGUCCUAGGGUAGAUGGUGCCUACAGUGAAUAAGUUGAGGCUCAGAUCUGAUUUAUAUGCAGUCUGUCUUGCAGUAUAGAUGGGAAUGUAGUGUUCCAGUUCUGUCCUUAUAUCCCAUGCCUUGAGCUCCUGCUAAUUUUAGAGAUGUUAUGAAGUAUUUUCACAGUGUGAUUUCAGUCAGCUUCUCUGCUCCACAGAACUUCCUCAGGCAUCAGUAGUGGUCUGGAUCACUUUCAUAUUGCCUUAUUUACUGAGCACUUUUAAAAGCAUCAGACAGCUGUACCAAAAGCCAAGUUACAAAUUCCUGGAGCUGCAAGUCUGGGUGGCAGAAUUUUCCUUGGUAGCACACCAGGUCUGUCUUCUGCAAAGCAGCUGCUGACCAGAGCUGUCUGACUUCACCCAAAUCCCGAAUGUGUUGAGCUCUGCUCUUCUGGGGAGGCCCAGAGUCGUCCAAAGAUGAUGUGCCCAUCUCCUUGUCAGCAUUUCCUACCCAAGAUGCCCUCUCCCAAAUGCUCUUCUGCCCUCAGUGUUCAGAGGAAGCCUGGUCUGAUGGGAUAGAUUUGAGAGCAAAAUGCAUCUCCCAGCCUUGGAGGACUUUCUGUCCUUGCUUUCCAAUCAGCCACGUGUGAGCCUGCCCGGAAUUGUGUCCCCCAGGUGUAAAUCUUGAGCCAGGCUGUGACAGCCCCCGUGCUCAGAGAGGUCACAGUGAGGAGCAGGUGAGUGUCAGGCUCUGCUAGCACAGGUCUGUGCCUUGCUCAGACCAGCCCUGCUGGUUUGCUGUCCUUCCCGAGGCUCUCAUCCUUCCCCUGUGAGGGCAGGGAGCCAGCACAGCCUCUGGAGAGCAGCAGGAAUGUGAGGGCAGCUCCCCUGGGAGUGCUGCAGCUGAGCUGGGAGCACUCCUGAGCGUUGGAGGCUCUGCCUCAGCUCCCUGCAGCUGAGUGUGGGGAGCUGCCGCUGUUUCCCCUCCAACUGUCCCCCCUGAGGUUCUUUCUGCCUCUUGUCACAUUACUCCCAUUUGGAUCCCCUUCUUGCCCUCUUCUCUCCCUCUCUUGAGCACAUCAGAUGUGCUUUUUGGCAGGAGCACGAGCUGCUGUUCUGUCCAGCUCAGGCCACUUCAGCUCUGCCUGGUUUUUGUCCGUGUUUUUUUCCCGGGAUGACCAGCAGGACUGGGCAGAGGGUGUUUGCAAAGCUGCUUUCUCCUCCUGGUUGGAAGCACUGGCCUUGUCCUGCCUGUGCCACUGGCCUCAGGGCAGAGGGAAGGUGCAGGGUGUGGCAGGAGCUCUCUGGUGCCUUAGGGAGCCUGUUCAGUCCUGUGUAGGAAUCCUGAUGUUGGUUGAGUGGCCAUUGCCACCCUCAGCGGGCAUUUCCCUGCACAAACAGCUGUGGUGGCAUCAGCAGGAGCUGGGCAGUGCUGCCAGCUCACCUCUCCUGUUGCUCUGGGGGACAGUGCUGUGCAGACCCAGCUGCUGCCUGGUUCUGGUGUGAAACCUUUGCUCUUGGGCUUGCAGUCACCUGGUGGAACAUGCUGUGCACUUGGCUUGGUACAUCCAUGUCCACCUGCCUGGUGUGCUGCUGCUGGAUGGGAGCAGCAGCCAGGGAUGUUUAAUGUGCUGUUAUUCUCUUGCCAGGGAUGUGAUGUUUGGGCAUCUGUAUUCGUGCAAGUGGGUCACAAGUCCUGAUGAUGCUGCCAGUUGUAAGCAGGGCUAGGAAAGGUCACCCACAGGUGAUAAAGGCAGCAUCCCAAACAGUAAUAAAAACUAAAAUCUCCUUCCACCCCCAGCUCCCCAACUCUGGGCCAGUGCUUGAUAUCUCUACUACAAAUCCUCUUAUGGAGAGUGAGAAUUUCCGCUGCUUUUGCACUCCAGGCAGGAUUCACCAGAUGUUAAUAAUGUGCUUAUUUUCUCUAAGUGCUAUUUUGGCAUCGGUGUUAAUUACAAUUUAUAUUCUGCAACAUUUACACUGGGAAAAGAACCCACCCUAAUGGUACCCAAUUGGCAGAGCUGGGCUAUUAAACACAGCUCCAUAUGUUCUGAGCAGAGCAGUGCAUGGGACUCAGAGCCCACUCAGCACUCAGGCAGCUGCAGAGGAAGAGAGGGGAGCAGGGAGAGGGGUGUUCUGCUCCUGGAUUUUAUUUAAUAUGAAAUCCCCCCUCCUUUUCUCUGUCCCCAUCUCUCCAGAAAUCUCCCUCCUGCUAUCUGGGAGCAUUUAAGGAGGUGAUCUCUGAGCCUGCUGAUGCUGCUGUCCAUAGUCUGAAACAAAUGAAUUCAAUUCCAGAAGGUGCCCUUCUCACAGGGAGUGCCUCUGCAGGAUCCCAGUCCCCGCUGCCUUCCAAAGCAGACCUCCAAUCUUUGGGAACUGCAGCAGAAAUCUUUGCUCUGACCACCCCCAAAGUGUCCAUGGUUCUGUGGGAGAAGAAUGUUCUGGGACAGGUCAGUUCUUGUGUAAAACUUGGUGUAGAUUGCUGCUCUGCUCAUGUCCAAAGUCUUGUUUGGCUGGGAGGGUCUGGAGUGACCCUGGUGUGGGGAAUUCAGAGGGGCUGAGUCAUCUGUGUUCCCGUGGGUUUCUUGGGAGUGUGGGUUAAAGGAUUGCUUCCUCAGCUGUUGGCAAAGCUGAUUUCAUGGUCUCUUUAGAAAUGGCAGUGAAUGCACUGCUGUGUUAGGAGAAGGGGCUGUGUGGUGACAGCCUCUCCCUUCAGGAGAGCUCUGACCGUGGUCCCUGCUCUGUCAGGGAGGAUAAGAUGGGAGUGAGAGGAGGCAGGGCAGGAUGGAGGCAUGGAUCUCCCUCUGGAAUCCAAACACACAUCCUGAGCUUGGCCUGUUGUGGGAGGGGAGGAGGCUCCCCGGGUGCUGAACCCUCCCCUCCAGGUUGGGUGUUGCUCACAGAGGGCACACCUGGGGCUGGGCUGCCCUGAGAGCAGCAAAGCCACAUUCCCCCUCACUGGGCUUUAAUUCCCAUCACUGCCUCCUCUGCAGGACCUGUCCCCUCACAGGGAUGUUCAGAGCUGUGGGACAGUGGGCAGGAGUGUGGGACCAUCCCUGUGAGGUGCUGGGUGCCUCCUUCCAGCAGUGCUGCUUUAGGAUAGGGCUGUAGAAAUUUGGGGCUUUCCCCCUGGUGGAGUGAAGCAGUGCAGAAGGGUUGUUUCACCUGUCUAAGGGGGAUGCAAUUCCCACUUGGCUGGUCCCAGCAGAGUGUCCAAAGCUGGGAGAGCAGUGCAGGAGCUGUGCUGGGUGCUGCAGAGCCCAAUCUCCUUCCUCUGCAGCUCUCCUGCCUCUUUGAGAUGCACAGGCAGCCAGGGUACUCCAGCAGGAGAAUCAUUUCCAUAGAAACCAAUUGGGAUGUUGUACAGGGAAUAAUGAUUAAUAGUGAAGGGAUGUUGCCUCAGGCACUUUUCAUUUUUUAGGGGGCAGUGAGGGACAAACUGGGGCACAGGUAGGGGGACAGGGAGACUUGAAAACUAAUGGAAACCAUCUCUUCCAUUAAUUUCCAGGGCAGCUUCCCCUCUUCUCCUCCUACCCAGCCCCCCACUGCUGCUCCCAGCUUUCGUCAAAUUUUCAAAAUGGCUAACCUGGUUAGAAAUAAUCAUAAUAAUAAAAAAGGAUGGAUGAGGUCUGACUACUAACAUUGUUGCUGUUAGCAGCAGGAUUUCAGCCAUAAAACAUGAAGCAAGGGAGGCAUUGACCUUUCCGCUGUUUGAAAUGAAUGGAGACAUCAAUAUCUAUUGUUUUGUGGCAUUGACCUCUGACGCUCUCAGCUCGCCCUCCCCUUUCUUUUUUUUUAAUUUCCCCCUGACACUGGAGGAAAGGGGUCAGUCUGUACCAUCUAUUGAUCCCCAUCUUACUUGGUGAUAGGGAAAUAAUUAGAAUUUUAAAGAUCCCUGCUGCACGCUGGUGAAAUACACACACAGAGGCACAGGCUAAGCCCCCGCUUGCCAUGUUGUGUUCUCCCCCCUUCCUUGCAGAGAUCCAAAGCUCUGAGAUCUGAAGGAAGGCAGAUCAAUAUAGGUUUAAUCAUGAUGGGGGUUUUAUUUCGGUUUUUUAAAUAGUAAAGUGUAACAUUUUAUGUUAAUGUUGUCGGAGCCUGGCUGCCUGGUGCCUUGUUUUAUUUAUUCUUUUAAGUAGCCCCUUCUUUUGUGAACUUCAUCUAUGUACAGAGAAUGUGAAAUCAGGCAUUGCUAAUUAGCUGUAUGACAAUUAAGUAAUGUAGCACAAAACCAUUAGGACACUGGAUUUGUUUUUGAAGUUUGUCCUUUGAAGUGGAAGCUGCAACUCCCUGCCCAAGGCUGCUGGGGAAAAUGUUUUUCUAUCAAAACUUUCUUUGAAAAUAAAAUGUCAGUGUAAGAGUCCCUAUUUCUGUCGUCUCUCCCUCUGAGCAGCGGGUGGAAAUUGUUUCUCCUUGUAAAAACUGCUGGCAUUGAUAGAAAGGGGGAUUCAGGAAAGCAUUAAAUGGGCAGUUGGUCUCCAAACACCCUCAAUUCUGGUAGAGAUAUGACCAAAAAUUCUUCUUUAGCUCCUUGAAAGGGAACGGUGCCGCGCUAGGAGAGAAGACCCAGCUCCCAGCUCUGGAGAUGGCAAAGGGAGGUGGUGCUAAAACUGGGGGUCCAUCUCUGACCCCCCAGGUGCCCCCAGGGUGGCAGCCUGGUCACAGAUCCCUGCAGGCUCCUGGGCUCGGGCUCCUCCAUCGUGUGCUGGUUUGACACUUGUGUUUGCAUCUGGCCCUUUGUCCUCGUAGUGAGUCCAGUUCUGAAUGUGCAACUUUCAUGUACGCUGGUGGCAUGUAAAACUUCAAAUAAAGAGUGGAACAUUUGGAACCA
Molecule: RNA transcript, 7800 nt
Organism: Zonotrichia leucophrys gambelii
Lineage: Eukaryota; Metazoa; Chordata; Aves; Passeriformes; Passerellidae
Gene: FBXL18
Gene name: F-box and leucine rich repeat protein 18
Exons: 6
Source: RefSeq, a predicted model, not a curated record